UGCCUUGAAGAUCGGAGUGCUUGCACUCUGUGAAACAAGAUACAGGCUAGCGGCGGACGGGUGAGUAACACGUGGGUAACCUGCCCAAGAGAUCGGGAUAACACCUGGAAACAGAUGCUAAUACCGGAUAACAACAGAUGAUGCCUAUCAACUGUUUAAAAGAUGGUUCUGCUAUCACUCUUGGAUGGACCUGCGGUGCAUUAGCUAGUUGGUAGGGUAACGGCCUACCAAGGCGAUGAUGCAUAGCCGAGUUGAGAGACUGAUCGGCCACAUUGGGACUGAGACACGGCCCAAACUCCUACGGGAGGCAGCAGUGGGGAAUCUUCCGCAAUGGACGAAAGUCUGACGGAGCAACGCCGCGUGAGUGAAGAAGGUCUUCGGAUUGUAAAGCUCUGUUAUACGGGACGAAAAAGACGGAUGCCAACAGUAUCCGUCCGUGACGGUACC
RNAcentral lists this ribosomal RNA (447 nucleotides) under uncultured Lactobacillus sp. Its description in RNAcentral is "bacterial SSU rRNA". It matches the Rfam family "Bacterial small subunit ribosomal RNA", at positions 56 to 479 of the family's 1533-position model. The record is from RNAcentral. Lineage: Bacteria; Bacillati; Bacillota; Bacilli; Lactobacillales; Lactobacillaceae.